This is a non-coding RNA of Solanum tuberosum (potato), 110 nucleotides long. Lineage: Eukaryota; Viridiplantae; Streptophyta; Magnoliopsida; Solanales; Solanaceae. The record is from RefSeq and is marked provisional.
AAUUUUUGGGAAGCUUUUGGCGUGAGUGGUGGGGUAAGAUAGAUCUAUCAUAUUUAUGAUAUGAAAAAUCUUGCCUACACCGCCCAUGCCCAUAUCUUCCAAUUAUUUCU